Polyodon spathula (Mississippi paddlefish) is the source of this 1292-nucleotide long non-coding RNA. RefSeq lists it as uncharacterized. The transcript is spliced from 3 exons. The record is from RefSeq and is a predicted model, not a curated record. NCBI's taxonomy places the organism in Eukaryota, Metazoa, Chordata, Actinopteri, Acipenseriformes, Polyodontidae.
GAAUUAUAAUAUUUGUGUUUUACAGUGUUUAGAUGGUAGCGUUGUGAGACACACUGUUCAAUUUGUGAUGUUGGUUCAUCCAAUAUUAUCUGAGCCUUGGUAAUCAUAAUGAGAGUAUGUCCAUACUAGACAUGAAACCUCGCCAUGUACGCUGGAGAAAUCGCCUAGCUGUGUGUUAGUGCUGUUUACCACUGAACUGCUUACGAAACUAACUUGCACUUAGCUCCUCCCCUCUCCUGCUUCAGCACAGCUGGUCUCACUAACGGAAGGCAGCUGCGACCGCUUUGUCCUGCCAUCUAGACUUCAGCCGUCGGUCAGGGUAUUGAGCACAAUACUGUUUUUAUCCUCUGUCAGAACAGGAUGAAAUGACUGACAGUGAAACUACAAUAGCCUACUAAGGGACCACUGGAGAUGACUAACAGAGACCCCUAGCCAUUAAUAGAUGGGAAAGACAGCAGUUCACUCUCUCAGGCCUGCAGAUGUCAAAGUCAUUGGAGCUGUUGGUGACUCCCUCACGAUGUGCGAUUUAUAAUAUGAAACAGAAGACACCUGAGGAAGGCCUGUGUCAACUUCAGAGUGAAUUCAAGUGGCGAGUGUGACCUACAGGACACAACUGAACGACAAACUGUUUAAGACGCUGACCCAGAGUCUGCACCAGUGGCGGCUGAGACAAAAAGAAAUGCAGAACCUGAGGUUUUACAGAAUGUAGGCCCAGUUCAGCACACCAGAAGUGGAAGGGCAGUAAUUCCAACUUCCAGGUUCCAGGAUUUUGACAUGAGCCAACGGUAAAGGUUGAGCUCCAACGGGUCAAGUGCUGGUAACCUCUGACCCAGAUGCAAGUGGAGUUAAAUGUUCAGUGAAUGGACUUGUUAUGUUAAAUGUUAAUGGUUCCUAGCAGUUGGUAAACAGUAAGGGUAGUUAAAAAGAUAAAUAACAAAAAAGGCCAACAAGUUAAAUAGUUAUGCAUCCUGGGGAAGAUUAAAAUUGAAAAGGGGGAUGUAGUAUAUGGGUUACUACAGAUGUAUAUUGAUGACAUAAGAAGGUAGGCGGGGGGCUACAGAAGGUCAAGUUAAGCUAGGAAGUGAUUUACCUUGUGUCAGGCUCUGUUCAUUAAUAAACAGUUUGGUUAACUGAAACACUUACUUAGGGGUCUCCUUCAUUAAAGUAAGUCCCACGGUCUGUAACUGCAUAAUAAGUCAAAGCAAGACAGUACUGUGUAGAAGGUGGCCAGCUCCCGAAUUAGGUGAUUAAUUUGUUGCUAACUGGGAGAUGAUCACCUGCAUAAAAGCUGG